This 440-nucleotide ribosomal RNA is filed under the name uncultured bacterium. Its description in RNAcentral is "partial 16S ribosomal RNA". It matches the Rfam family "Bacterial small subunit ribosomal RNA", at positions 338 to 795 of the family's 1533-position model. The record is from RNAcentral.
CCUACGGGUGGCAGCAGUGGGGAAUAUUGCACAAUGGGGGAAACCCUGAUGCAGCGACGCCGCGUGAGUGAAGAAGUAAUUCGUUAUGUAAAGCUCUAUCAGCAGGGAAGAAAAUGACGGUACCUGAGUAAGAAGCCCCGGCUAACUACGUGCCAGCAGCCGCGGUAAUACGUAGGGGGCAAGCGUUAUCCGGAUUUACUGGGUGUAAAGGGAGCGUAGACGGAAUUGCAAGUCUGGAGUGAAAGGCGUGGGCUCAACCCCAGGACUGCUCUUAAAACUGUACGGCUGGAGUGCUGGCGAGGUAAGCGGAAUUCCUGGUGUAGCGGUGAAAUGCGUAGAUAUUAGAAGGAACACCGGUGGCGAAGGCGGCUUACUGAACAAUAACUGACGUUGAGGCUCGAAAGCGUGGGGAGCAAACAGGAUUAGAUACCCCAGUAGUC